UUCACAAUUCCCCCAAAAGGCUACUAUUUUCCCUAUUGAUAUAGCAAUUGCAUCUGCCCAAAGAAAAAGCUAUGGCACUCGCGCAUAAUUGUCUUCUUCAGCAACACCAUCAUCCUUGUUGGUGCAAGAAAAAGGGUAAGCCAUAUGGCAAGUCAAGAAGGUUACACGUGGUACAUGCAACCAAUCAGUGAGUCACAGGAGAGGGUAAAGAGUCGAGACUGCAAAAUCUUCUUCAAUGUUGUGCAAUUUACUUUGCAGAUUGAAUACUGUUUUGGCAACAGAAAAUGGUGCAGAUAUAGCUCCAGACUGACAGGCAAUGUAGCAGACAAGCAUCUUUUCAGGUUUUUGAUUCGAACGAUUCGUCUUCUCUUCUGUAGGCAAAUUAAUACGAGUAAAAACUCAGGUUUUUGUGUUCUGAGAAUGAGAUAUAAUUCACACAUGCACAACACCAAUUCAUUCAUACCACUAAGAUAGUAUAUACAAUCUGCACAACCACUUUGGUAGAAGAUUAUGAUAAA
Long non-coding RNA from Prunus persica (peach), 518 nucleotides. RefSeq lists it as uncharacterized. NCBI's taxonomy places the organism in Eukaryota, Viridiplantae, Streptophyta, Magnoliopsida, Rosales, Rosaceae. The transcript is spliced from 2 exons. The record is from RefSeq and is a predicted model, not a curated record.